This 2906-nucleotide ribosomal RNA is filed under the name Klebsiella pneumoniae. Its description in RNAcentral is "23S ribosomal RNA". It matches the Rfam family "Bacterial large subunit ribosomal RNA". The record is from RNAcentral. Lineage: Bacteria; Pseudomonadati; Pseudomonadota; Gammaproteobacteria; Enterobacterales; Enterobacteriaceae.
GGGUUGUGAGGUUAAGCGACUAAGCGUACACGGUGGAUGCCCUGGCAGUCAGAGGCGAUGAAGGACGUGCUAAUCUGCGAAAAGCGUCGGUAAGGUGAUAUGAACCGUUAUAACCGGCGAUGUCCGAAUGGGGAAACCCAGUGUGAUUCGUCACACUAUCGUUAACUGAAUACAUAGGUUAACGAGGCGAACCGGGGAACUGAAACAUCUAAGUACCCCGAGGAAAAGAAAUCAACCGAGAUUCCCCAGUAGCGGCGAGCGAACGGGGAGCAGCCCAGAGUCUGAAUCAGCUUGUGUGUUAGUGGAACGGUCUGGAAAGUCCGACGGUACAGGGUGAUAGUCCCGUACACCAAAAUGCACAGGCUGUGAACUCGAAGAGUAGGGCGGGACACGUGGUAUCCUGUCUGAAUAUGGGGGGACCAUCCUCCAAGGCUAAAUACUCCUGACUGACCGAUAGUGAACCAGUACCGUGAGGGAAAGGCGAAAAGAACCCCGGCGAGGGGAGUGAAAAGAACCUGAAACCGUGUACGUACAAGCAGUGGGAGCACCUUCGGGUGUGACUGCGUACCUUUUGUAUAAUGGGUCAGCGACUUAUAUUCUGUAGCAAGGUUAACCGUAUAGGGGAGCCGCAGGGAAACCGAGUCUUAACUGGGCGUUAAGUUGCAGGGUAUAGACCCGAAACCCGGUGAUCUAGCCAUGGGCAGGUUGAAGGUUGGGUAACACUAACUGGAGGACCGAACCGACUAAUGUUGAAAAAUUAGCGGAUGACUUGUGGCUGGGGUGAAAGGCCAAUCAAACCGGGAGAUAGCUGGUUCUCCCGAAAGCUAUUUAGGUAGCGCCUCGUGAAUUCAUCUUCGGGGUAGAGCACUGUUUCGGCUAGGGGUCAUCCCGACUUACCAACCCGAUGCAAACUACGAAUACCGAAGAAUGUUAUCACGGGAGACACACGGCGGGUGCUAACGUCCGUCGUGAAGAGGGAAACAACCCAGACCGCCAGCUAAGGUCCCAAAGUCAUGGUUAAGUGGGAAACGAUGUGGGAAGGCACAGACAGCCGGAUGUUGGCUUAGAAGCAGCCAUCAUUUAAAGAAAGCGUAAUAGCUCACUGGUCGAGUCGGCCUGCGCGGAAGAUGUAACGGGCUAAACCAUGCACCGAAGCUGCGGCAGCGACACUAUGUGUUGUUGGGUAGGGGAGCGUUCUGUAAGCCUGCGAAGGUGUGCUGUGAGGCAUGCUGGAGGUAUCAGAAGUGCGAAUGCUGACAUAAGUAACGAUAAAGCGGGUGAAAAGCCCGCUCGCCGGAAGACCAAGGGUUCCUGUCCAACGUUAAUCGGGGCAGGGUGAGUCGACCCCUAAGGCGAGGCCGAAAGGCGUAGUCGAUGGGAAACAGGUUAAUAUUCCUGUACUUGGUGUUACUGCGAAGGGGACGGAGAAGGCUAUGUUAGCCGGGCGACGGUUGUCCCGGUUUAAGCAUGUAGGCUGGUUGUCCAGGCAAAUCCGGAUAAUCAAGGCUGAGGUGUGAUGACGAGGCACUACGGUGCUGAAGUAACAAAUGCCCUGCUUCCGUGAAAAGCCUCUAAGCAUCAGGUAACAUCAAAUCGUACCCCAAACCGACACAGGUGGUCAGGUAGAGAAUACCAAGGCGCUUGAGAGAACUCGGGUGAAGGAACUAGGCAAAAUGGUGCCGUAACUUCGGGAGAAGGCACGCUGGUGUGUAGGUGAAGUCCCUGCGGAUGGAGCUGAGACCAGUCGAAGAUACCAGCUGGCUGCAACUGUUUAUUAAAACACAGCACUGUGCAAACACGAAAGUGGACGUAUACGGUGUGACGCCUGCCCGGUGCCGGAAGGUUAAUUGAUGGGGUUAUCCGUAAGGAGAAGCUCUUGAUCGAAGCCCGGUAAACGGCGGCCGUAACUAUAACGGUCCUAAGGUAGCGAAAUUCCUUGUCGGGUAAGUUCCGACCUGCACGAAUGGCGUAAUGAUGGCGGGCUGUCUCCACCCGAGACUCAGUGAAAUUGAACUCGCUGUGAAGAUGCAGUGUACCCGCGGCAAGACGGAAAGACCCCGUGAACCUUUACUAUAGCUUGACACUGAACAUUGAGCCUUGAUGUGUAGGAUAGGUGGGAGGCUUUGAAGCGUGGACGCCAGUCUGCGUGGAGCCAACCUUGAAAUACCACCCUUUAAUGUUUGAUGUUCUAACGUUGGCCCCUUACCGGGGUUGCGGACAGUGUCUGGUGGGUAGUUUGACUGGGGCGGUCUCCUCCCAAAGCGUAACGGAGGAGCACGAAGGUUAGCUAAUCUGGUCGGACAUCAGGAGGUUAGUGCAAUGGCAUAAGCUAGCUUGACUGCGAGCGUGACGGCGCGAGCAGGUGCGAAAGCAGGUCAUAGUGAUCCGGUGGUUCUGAAUGGAAGGGCCAUCGCUCAACGGAUAAAAGGUACCGGGGAUAACAGGCUGAUACCGCCCAAGAGUUCAUAUCGACGGCGGUGUUUGGCACCUCGAUGUCGGCUCAUCACAUCCUGGGGCUGAAGUAGGUCCCAAGGGUAUGGCUGUUCGCCAUUUAAAGUGGUACGCGAGCUGGGUUUAGAACGUCGUGAGACAGUUCGGUCCCUAUCUGCCGUGGGCGCUGGAGAAUUGAGGGGGGCUGCUCCUAGUACGAGAGGACCGGAGUGGACGCAUCACUGGUGUUCGGGUUGUCAUGCCAAUGGCACUGCCCGGUAGCUAAAUGCGGAAGAGAUAAGUGCUGAAAGCAUCUAAGCACGAAACUUGCCCCGAGAUGAGUUCUCCCUGAGACUUUAAGUCUCCUGAAGGAACGUUGAAGACGACGACGUUGAUAGGCCGGGUGUGUAAGCGCAGCGAUGCGUUGAGCUAACCGGUACUAAUGAACCGUGAGGCUUAACCUUACAACGCCGAAG